This 467-nucleotide ribosomal RNA is filed under the name uncultured bacterium. Its description in RNAcentral is "partial 16S ribosomal RNA". It matches the Rfam family "Bacterial small subunit ribosomal RNA", at positions 28 to 507 of the family's 1533-position model. The record is from RNAcentral.
GACGAACGCUGGCGGCGUGCUUAACACAUGCAAGUCGAACGAUGACGACCGAGCUUGCUCGGUCUGAUUAGUGGCGAACGGGUGAGUAACACGUGAGCAACCUGCCCUUCACUCUGGGAUAACCUCGGGAAAUCGGGGCUAAUACCGGAUAUGAGCUCCUGUCGCAUGGCGGGUGUUGGAAAGUUUUUCGGUGAAGGAUGGGCUCGCGGCCUAUCAGUUUGUUGGUGAGGUAGUGGCUCACCAAGGCGAUGACGGGUAGCCGGCCUGAGAGGGCGACCGGCCACACUGGGACUGAGACACGGCCCAGACUCCUACGGGAGGCAGCAGUGGGGAAUAUUGCACAAUGGGCGAAAGCCUGAUGCAGCGACGCCGCGUGAGGGAUGACGGCCUUCGGGUAGUAAACCUCUUUCAGCAGGGAAGAAGCGAAAGUGACGGUACCUGCAGAAGAAGCGCCGGCUAACUACGUG